GCUUAACACAUGCAAGUCGAACGAUGAAGUGGAGCUUGCUCCACGGAUUAGUGGCGAACGGGUGAGGAACACGUGAGAAACCUGCCUCGGAUUUUGGGAUAACAAAUGGAAACGUUUGCUAAUACCAAAUAACGUCGGAGAGUCACAUGACUUUCUGACGAAAGGAAUUCCGAUUCGAGAGGGUCUCGCGGCCUAUCAGCUUGUUGGCGGGGUAAUGGCCCACCAAGGCAACGACGGGUAGCUGGUCUGAGAGGAUGGUCAGCCACACUGGGACUGAGACACGGCCCAGACUCCUACGGGAGGCAGCAGUGGGGAAUCUUGCGCAAUGGGCGAAAGCCUGACGCAGCAACGCCGCGUGCGGGAAGAAGGCUUUCGGGCUGUAAACCGCUUUCAGCAGGAACGAAAAUGACGGUACCUGCAGAAGAAGGAGCGGCCAACUAUGUGCCAGCAGCCGCGGUGAUACAUAGGCUUCAAGCGUUGUCCGGAUUUAUUGGGCGUAAAGAGUUCGUAGGCGGUCGAGUAAGUCGGGUGUGAAAAUUCUGGGCUCAACCCAGAGACGCCACCCGAUACUGCUUAACUUGAGUUCGAUAGGGGAGUGGGGAAUUCCUAGUGUAGCGGUGAAAUGCGCAGAUAUUAGGAGGAACACCGGUGGCGAAGGCGCCACUCUGGAUCGACACUGACGCUGAGGAACGAAAGCAUGGGUAGCAAACAGGAUUAGAUACCCUGGUAGUCCAUGCGGUAAACGGUGGGCACUAGGUGUGGGUUUCUAUUAACGAAAUCCGCGCCGUCGCUAACGCA
This 798-nucleotide ribosomal RNA is filed under the name uncultured actinomycete. RNAcentral describes it as "bacterial SSU rRNA". It matches the Rfam family "Bacterial small subunit ribosomal RNA", at positions 46 to 859 of the family's 1533-position model. The record is from RNAcentral. Lineage: Bacteria; Bacillati; Actinomycetota; Actinomycetes; Actinomycetales.